GAUGAAGAACGCAGCGAAAUGCGAUAAGUAAUGUGAAUUGCAGAAUUCAGUGAAUCAUCGAAUCUUUGAACGCACCUUGCGCCCUUUGGCCAUUCCGAAGGGCAUGCCUGUUUGAGUAUCAUGAACACCUCAACUCUUCAUGGUUUUCCGUGAUGAGCUUGGACUUUGGGGGUCUUGCUGGCCUAUGGUCAGCUCCUCUAAAAUAAAUCAGCUUGCCAGUGUUUGGUGGGUAUCACAGGUGUGAUAACUAUCUACGCUUGUGGUUUUCCACCAGGUAACCUUCAGCAGUGGAGGUUCGCUGGAGCUCACAGAUGUGUCUCUCCUCAGUGAGGACAGCUCUUUGAAUGUUUGAUCUCAAAUCAGGUAGGACUACCCGCUGAACUUAAGCAUAUCAAUAACGGAGGA
This 405-nucleotide unclassified non-coding RNA is filed under the name soil metagenome. Its description in RNAcentral is "partial contains 5.8S ribosomal RNA, internal transcribed spacer 2, and large subunit ribosomal RNA". The stretch from base 1 to 121 matches the Rfam family "5.8S ribosomal RNA", at positions 35 to 154 of the family's 154-position model. The record is from RNAcentral.